RNAcentral lists this long non-coding RNA (1728 nucleotides) under Mytilus galloprovincialis (Mediterranean mussel). The record is from RNAcentral. Lineage: Eukaryota; Metazoa; Mollusca; Bivalvia; Mytilida; Mytilidae.
AAAAGAGUAAUUUAAUAUUUUAAUGUUAUCUUUUCCUUCACUGAAAGUGAAAUGUAGUUUGAAAAGAUUUAGUGCAUCAAUUUAUUCAAAGGAACUAAUUGUCUACAUAAAAGUGAGAAUACAAAAAGAAAAAUAAUGUGCAAACCUCUUAACAUCAUGGAUUUUUGCAUUGUGAAAUUACAAUUUCCAUUGAAAAAACCUGCAUAGUAUAAAUUCAUAUAACAUAUGAAAACAUAAGUUGAAAGAUUUGACUUGACUAAGGUGGGUAAUCAUUUUAUCUUUGAAUGGCCUUUUUUUAAAGAGUAUUUUACUAUAGAUAAGAUAUAACAUGUAAUGCAAUUUAUUUAAUGGGUAUAUAAUACCUAUUCUUAAAGGUGAAAAGCUUAUGUAUAUGAUCUCUAGAUUUAUGCUGAUACUAUGUAUAAGCUCCUGUCAAAAUAGAUGCCCAUCCCUCAAUAACCUACCAUUCAAAAUAUAUUUGGUUAUUUAUAAUUUUCUAUGAACCAAAAUGAAAUAACAAAUUUUUUAGAUUGAAAAUUUCAUUGUCUGUAAGUUCUUUUGUAUGUGUGAUAUAUUUUCUGGCUACAGUCCUAACAAUUGAAUUCAGUGCUUCAGUCCUGGUUAUUAAAACACUAUCAUCCAGUACUGAUUCCAGAAGUUUUCAGAUUUUUUUCUCUCAUUUGUUUAUCAGAAAAUGCAAUGCCCCAGAGGCUUAUAUUCAGAUAAAUCUUGUACCAAACAUGCAGCAAAUUUUAAAAGCAAAUGAAAUACCUUUAAAAGGGCUCACCAUAAUCAGUGGCAUAUUUAAUUAACGAUCUUGUAACAUUUCAAUAUUGGUUUCAAAGUAUUAAUACAGUACUUGCCAACAUAAAAACAAAUUUUAUAACAAAGCCUACAUAACAGUUCAACCAAUAUACACAUGGAUAAUAAAUAAUGAUCAUAUGUAUAAAUAAAUAUUACUUAAUUUACAACCAAUAAAAUUUAUAAUUAUUUUCUGGAAAAAUAUGUGAUGUAAAGAAAGAUUCAGUGUAACAAUCGUCACAACUCGGCCGAUUCCGUACCUCAUCUAAGGAGAGAAGCGGAGUCACCCGAGGAUUGCCGAUUGUCAGUGUAAUUAUAUCAUGAAAUGUAUUUUUCGGUUCUUGCUAAUAAUGAUUCAUGUAUAAAUAAUGAAACACAAAACAUGCAGAGAGAAAUCAUCCGACUUUAAAAGCAAAAACAAAAUCAUAAUUAGUACUUAUUAUUUGCGUUCAUUAUACUAUCUUUCACACAGAAGCCAAAUUUAUAAUAUUAUAAUAUUAAAUGUUCCCUACAUAAUUUAUUUCAUUUAAGGAAUGACUGUAAUCUUUUUCUGUCUAUGAAGAAAUAACAUUAAAAAUGUGGUGCACACUGAAUAACGCGCAUAGCAGGUUAUUUAACAGUGUGCACAACAUUUUUUAUGUUAUUUCGAAUAGACAAAAAAAAUAUUACAGUCAUUUCUUAUAAUUUAAUUCUAAAUUCCAUUUUAAACUGUAGAAAACCAUGAAAAAUGUUGAUGACGACACGGUCACAUGACUAAAUUAUGUCUAUGGGCUCAUAACAAAAUAACGUCAGCCAAUCAGAAGAUGCGUUACAUCCAAAAUUAAAUUAUAUAAUAAUAAAUAUUUAAUUGAUUUUACCAAAAUUUUCAAAAUAAUUUCUAACCAAAUCUGCAAUACUGACUGCAACUGAUUUUCAUAUAUUGAGUUG